Coregonus clupeaformis (lake whitefish) is the source of this 464-nucleotide long non-coding RNA. RefSeq lists it as uncharacterized. The transcript has 3 exons. Lineage: Eukaryota; Metazoa; Chordata; Actinopteri; Salmoniformes; Salmonidae. The record is from RefSeq and is a predicted model, not a curated record.
CAGGCACCGCGACCAAACUCACAUGAGGAAAAAUCUGAAAGCAGGAAGCCAGCGCUGUCCUACCACAGCGGGACUGACUGGGGAGGUGAAAAGAUGAAGUACCUGCGGGCACUCCAGGACCUGGGUUGCCUACCCCUGCCCUAGAGGGAAGAAUGCGGCCGCCUUUACUGAGACAGAGUGCUCCAUGUUCCUGCUGAUCGAAAGCCUCAAGCUGGAUGCAGAAAAAUGUCCUGCCUUGUAGUAUGGUUGCAUCCAUCUCCACCAGGCUCCAAGAAAUCAGAUGACAAACAUGCAGAUUAACUAAAUAAAAUUGUACUAUUUAUAUUUUUGACAACUUUUACGUCACUACAUUCCUAAAGAAAAUGAUGUACUUUUUACUCCAUACAUUUCCCUGACACCAAAAACUUAUUGUUACACUUUGAAUGCUUAGCAGGACAGGAAAAUGGUCCAAUUCACACACUAAU